RNAcentral lists this long non-coding RNA (6064 nucleotides) under Cricetulus griseus (Chinese hamster). RNAcentral's name for it is "lncRNA (ENSCGRG00015032422.1)". The record is from RNAcentral. Lineage: Eukaryota; Metazoa; Chordata; Mammalia; Rodentia; Cricetidae.
GGGAACUGUGUUAAAGGGUGGCUGCAAUAGAAAGGUUGGGAACCACUGUUCUAGAGGACACAGGAGUUGUUCCUGAAGUCUUUGAUCACAUUUUCCCCUCACCAAUAGUGCAGAACCUUGCUUUAGAUGUGGGUAAAAAAGGCUAUUUGAAGAGGCCUCAUUUCAUAAUGCUGUUUAUUAACAAAUGAUGAACUCUUGGCAAACGGCAUGUUUAAAGAAAGCUUAUCUAACACAUUCAUUUCCUUCAUAAAGCACAUCACAUUCUUGCACUUGGGAACAUACAGCACUAUACUUGGGAACAUUUUAUUUUAAAUAGCUAAAUCAUUAACAAAGUGAACCAAAACACUAAAUCUUCUUAACUCUGCAAAAAACAAACAAACAAACAAACAAACAAAAAACCCCACUCAUUUUUUAAUAUGGACACAGAGACAACAGGGCAGAGCAUCACCUUGUCCAGGCACAAGUGGGAAGUUGUGAGUUGGGUGGCUCACAGUUUUUGCCAUUCUGUGCAUGUCCAUGAAUUUGUGCCAGUAAUAUUGAUUUUUAUCAAGCGGGUGAAUUUCUAACUGCAAAUCUAUGAUAAUGAAGACUGACAACUUCCUGACAGCCAUUGUGCUAGCCCCGUCAAGGAAAUCCCAGCUUUCAGAGAGGAGGUGAAACAUUGAUCUUUCAGCCCAAAUGUCUGAAUACAAAUGCCAGGGAAUCAUGAAAUGCAUCCCUUUUGUUUUUUCUUAUUCAAAUCCUCUGCCUCCAAAGUUACAUUAUUUGGUUUCAAGUAGACUUUUACUAAGCACAUUUAUCAAGACUGUAGCUUUUAGAGAAGAGCUCGUCAAACAGUUGUACAAACAAAAUGCUUGAUUCUGUUUGAAGUUCUUUUUUUUUUCUUCUUCUUCUUUUCUUCAAAUUAAAUUCAGGUUAGCAGACAAAAUAAUGGGUUUCACUAUGGCAUCUUGUAGAUAUAUGCCGUCUCACUUUGUUCUCAAUUAUUCCCCCCCAACACUACUCCUUUUCCCCUCUGGCUGGUUUACCUUCCCCCCUUCAGCCUUCCCACACUAUAUUUAAUUCUAUCAUCAUGCUUCUGGAUGCCUCGGGAUAAUGGAUCUGCUCAUUCCAAUCAAGAAUAAAACCAGGCAACACUUCAGCCCCACUUAAGGUCUGGGUAGAACAGGCUCAUUGAACAUCUCAUGGCCAACAGUAGACCCCAUCUUUCCUAAUGACAGGGAGAUGAGAACUGAGGUGCAACAUCUACCCCUCACCACUCACUGGACACACACAAUCAGAAAGCUUUCAGAAAGCUCUAUGGGACAUGGACCAUGGUAGGAAUUUUCCUCCUCCAUAUCUUCCCUUUAUAAUUAACAAGUGAUAAUUACUUGGCUGUGAUCCCUGAGCAUCUGUGGAAAAGAGGAUGCUUUUGGAAGACUGGCUUUCCUUUUGCAAUCUUAUGUCUGUUUCAAGGCUAAAAUAAAUCUUUGGACCUGACACUCCAGGUUCUUCAUGAGGUAGACCCAAUUUUGUUCUGUGCCAACCAAAAAGGAGUUUAUUAUAGAUUAACAAUAAGACAUGAACCAUACACUGGAUGAGGUAAAGGGGCUAUACAAAAUGACAAAGCUAACAUCCAUGAAAGUAGAAGAUGGAGAGGACAUGUGUAGCUAUGGCUCCUUGAUGUGGUGUAGAUCAGAGAGAGUGUAUCAGCUUGCAACAAGAGGGGAGCAGAUGGAGAGGAGGGGAAGGAGGAAGGAAGAAUGCACCAGGGAAGGAAAACACUGAACUCAAAAUAAAUAGAUCUUCCUUCCUUCAUUCCUCCCUCCCUCCCUCCCUCCUUCCCUCCCUACCUCCCUUCCUCCCUCUCUCCCUCCCUUCUUCACUCUAUCCCUUCCUUGCUCUCUCCCUCCUUUCUUCCUCCUCCCAUUCCUGAGAGAGAGAGAGAGAGAGAGAGAGAGAGAGAGAGAGAGAGAGAGAGAGAGAGAGAGAGAGAGAGAAAGACAGAGAGAGAAUGGACAUGGAGUAGGUGGGGUGAUGGGGGAAAUUAUAAAAAUACAUAAUAUGAGAAAAAUGUUUUUCUGAUAGAAUAAUAGUUCUUGGAUAAUGUGGACUUUCCAUAGCUUUGGGGAAAGGGAGAGGUAAAAAAGUUUGCAAAUGGAAAUGUGUGUAGGAUUGGUGGCACCAUGAAGAAAUACAUAGCAGAGGGCAAGGUGGUUCAUAUUGAAUUGUAUGUAAAUAGGACAUCUGAAAAUAGGCAGAAGAACUGAAAUUUGGUGGAGUAGUGAACAGCCAUUGAAGGCUUCGGAGAAAAGAUGCCAAUCAGCCACCUCCUAAGUGGACUGCAGAUGAGAGAGAUAGGUACCAACUGAUUUUUUUCCCUACGCAUGUAUAUGUCUUUCUUCCUUUCUUUCUUCCUUUCAUCCUUCCUUCCUUCCUUCCUUCCUUCCUUUCUUUCUUUCUUUCUUUCUUUCUUUCUUUCUUUCUUUCUUUCUUUUCUUUCUUUCUUUUUCGAGACAGGGUUUCUCUGUGUAGCUUUGGAGCCUAUCCUGGCGCUCCCUCUGGAGACCAGGCUGGCCUCAAACUCACAGAGAUCUGCCUGCCUCUGCCUCCGGAGUGCUGGGAUUAAAGGUGUGCGCCACCAACACCCAGCGUAUAUGAGUGUUUCUAGUGAGCCUUCAUUUGGUGUUCAAGAAGUCUUCAUCGGCUAGCCACUCUGUGCUAGAUAGUAUGGAAAAUGAUACAGCUAUAUGAAUAGAUAAGACUGAACCAAGGUGACUCAAAUGUAUUUUAAUACCCUGUUUUCCUGCUCUUCUGUUUUGACUCUAUGUCUCAGAGAGAAGAUGCUCUCUGGAGCCACUCAGCAGUGGUUCUGAUGCACAGUGUUGCUAAAGGGUGGGUGGUGUGUCUUCCUCACUUGGAUGUUUUUCUCCUUAGGUCAAAGCUUGGGGAGACAAAGAACAUGCUUUGUGUAAAGACAUAAAAUUUCUUUUUAUGUCUUUGAUAAUGUCUGUGAAAUGCAACUCUAUCUACAUUUUCUGGUCAAGCUUAUUAUAGUGUGGUGACACAGGCGUGCUCCCUUUCUUACAAUGAAGUAAAAGGGACAGAUUUGUGCCCCUCCCAUUUCCUUCACAGCCACAAUGUUAGCCCAUUCCAUAAAUCACAACAGCUGAGUCCAUCUUAAUGGUAUAAAUAUUUCCAUAAUUUAGAUGCACUCAGUAAAUUGUCAGAUAGUUAUUAAUAAGAACAAGAUGUCUUCUUGAAAUUCUGGCUUUGACAACAACACUUAGGAUGUGGCCAUGGAACAUGUUACUUUCAAUUCAUUGUCUAGAAUUCUCCCUGGCAGGAAAUUGGAAUUUCCUAGAAACUCGUUUUUUAAUUCAUUCUGGUGCCAGCAUUAGUGAGUGACAGUGUUUGCCUUCAUAUUUACCAGAUGUUUUGCUCAUAUAUUAAAUCUAUUAAUUUACUUACCCGUGUUUUAGUAUGUAUGUAUGUAUGUAUGUAUGUAUGUAUGUAUGUAUGUAUGUAUGUAUGUAUAAUUCCAUCUUCAAAACCUGGCGAAUACCCUAGGAUUUAAAGCGUCCUUGUGGUCUCUGUGAGAAUGUGUUUGUCAGACUCUAGGUGGCGCUCCACAUCCGGCUUGGGAAGCAGGGCAAGGAGCAUGUCCUUAAGGCUUGGCAUGGAAUGAGACCCACAGGACCCACACAGACUGGACUAGGGAGGGAGCUUUCCGUGUGGGGGUGGAGGGUGGGGUAGAGCAGUAUGUGUGCUUGGGUUUCGUUUGGGGAACAAAACAAAACACCAUAUUUUAAUGUAAUUUAGUUUUAGAUUUCUAUUCGGGUGGGAGUGGGGUGGGGUUGGCGUAAAAAUAUCCAACUUGAACACCACCCUUCUCAUCUCCUGGACUGGGAAAACCUGGAUCCCUGAGUUUCUAUCUAGCUGGAAAUCACCCAAGAGAAUUACCUGAAGAGCAAUACCUGAAAUGGAGGAUGUAUGUGAGAGAAAUGGACCAUUUGCUACAUAAAGCAUUGAAAUGUCUUUGGCUUGGGAUUCAGACGCUCACUCAUUGGAUGAGGUGUGUAGCCCACCUAACUAUGAAGCCCUUUCUUGAUGGAGCCAUCAUGAGAAGAGCUGCAGAAGCACACCCUGAGGAAAGCUAUCCCCGGCUCGCUGGGUGGAUCCAACUGAUGGUGGACCCAAUUUUCUGAAUGGCUGGAGCUUCACAGAACACUGUUGCUUGUUAAUGUUCAGACACCGACCGCACUGGGAAGAGUCAUUGCUCGUGUCAACUCAUCAAGUAGUCUAAACAAGCCUGUUGGAGGCUGGCCAGCUCCGGACAGUCAUUGACCACAGAUGCGAUCUGGAAGCCCAUUACAACUUGUGGAAGCGAAAGGGAAAGCGGACCGUGCUUCCAGCCAGUCGCAGGCUUAUGAAGCCGGUCUAUCCAGUACAUAGUUUUUGUUUAAAGCCGUCAGCACAAAUUCCUACUUCAGGAUGGGACGAAAACAGCAUUGAGAUCACCAACAGGAUGCUGCUGCGUUGUUUGACCCCAAGCUGUGUAUUGCACUCUUUCCCAGAAGUUCUACAAGGAUGAGGACUUCAGGAAACUCCUUCCUUUCCUUCCAUUCAGAGGUUCAAUCCAUUGUCAUCAUGGUAGGGAGCAUGGUGGCAUGCAGGCAGACAUGGUGCUGGAGAAGUAACUAAGAGCUCUACAUCUGGAUCCACAGGCAGCAGGAAGACACGGUGAGCCAGUGGGCCUGACUUGGACUUUUGAAACCUCAAAGUGCACCCUCAGUGACACACUUCUGCCAACAAGACCACACCUCCUAAUCCUUACCAAGUUGUAUCCACUCCCUGAUGACAAAGCAUUCAAACAUACCAGUCUAUGGAGCCAUCCUUUUUUUUUUUUUUUUUAAAUGGGGGCCAUUCUUCUAUUCUUAUUCAGAGCACCACAAAAUUUGUUUUGGAAAAGAAGACAUUUGAGAAAGGGGCUGAAGGAUGUAACAGAGUGAAUCCUGUGUACGUAGAGGGAAAGCAUUUCAGAAAGUACAAACACAUGUGUCAUUCCAAGGGAGGGGCAUGCUGUCUACGGAGGGCCAUGGAGGACGUCAGUGUGCUUCUCAUCUUUCUAUGGCUGUGACAAAUAUACCUGAAAGAGACAACCGAAAAGAAGGAAUCUUUCAUUCUGACUCAUUUCCCCCCCAAACGUUUCAGUCAGUGGUUUGUUAACCCUGUUGCUUUUGAACCCAUGAUCUUGGUAUGUCACAGUGGAAGCCCAGGCCGUGGGAUGCUUGGCCAUCUCAUGGUGAUACAUAAACAAAAAGAGAAGUUUGUGCAACUCCUGAAACCUAGGCUGCAUCCACUAACCUUCACCUUUUAAAAGCUCUACAGGGUCCUGAUGGUGCCACAGGAGGGGGCUGAUCACUGAAGCAUGACCUUUGGAGGACUCUAGGUCUAAACUAUAGUGACCAUCAUGGCCAGAGACCAAUGUGGUAAUCUGGAAAGAAACGAGGGAGACAGAUCAGAGAAACCAAACCGUCACUGAGAAUGUUUGGCUGUAGGUGAAAGCAUGGCUGAGUAACGUUGAUAAUGUAGAUUCCGUGCCCGAUCUUAACCCUAGGCACCCUUUGAUGUUGUAAAUGAGCAAAGCCGCAGGAAACAGCUGUUUGGUCCCUUGAAUGACAACUGGCAGAUACUUCCCUCAUGCCCAGCUGCCUUGAGCAUGGAGCAUGCAGCUCCUUCCUUCACUACCUUAUUUGUUCAUUCCAUGAUUGCUCUGAGGAAGCACCACUCUAGCUAGGAAACCCACUCCAACUGCAGCUGCUGUGGAAGUUGUGACUCCAGAGUGAGAGGUCCUAUUUUAGGCAUGACUGCUUCGGGAACCUUGCAUCUGCUUUGGAAGAGUCCACCACAGGUAAAAAGCAGCCACAGAGAACUCUGGAUGACCCUACACUUUCUCAUGCAGGGAAGGAAUGGGAAUGCCUUGCCCUCUGGCUUAUCUAAGUACCCCCACUCCCUCAUCGGUAGAAAUGGAAGCCAUGUAUGUUCAGGACUGUGGCUGGUGAAACGGCAACCUUAACUAUGC